Long non-coding RNA from Falco peregrinus (peregrine falcon), 1757 nucleotides. RefSeq lists it as uncharacterized. Lineage: Eukaryota; Metazoa; Chordata; Aves; Falconiformes; Falconidae. The transcript is spliced from 2 exons. The record is from RefSeq and is a predicted model, not a curated record.
GAAUACGACUUGCACUGAGGACAGUUAUGUUGGAUUAGAUUUCUAGCCUAAAGAAGCCAUAUACUUACUUUUGCACCAGUUAGGUUUUAAUGCACUUAAGUUUUUAAAAGUUUCCUGUCAGUUGUGUAGCAUUCAGGGCUGUUGUAAUCCUCUGCUUCUUGCUGUUUAUUUUGUCAGCUCAUACAGUUCUACACAAUUUAUAUUUUAAUUCUUAUACAGGUAGUUGUUUAUUUUUGGGUUGCGAAUACAGCAGAAAUGGUGUAUGUUGGUAAUUUCUCACUUAAAAUCAGAUUCUUUUUGCUUUAAAUAGCCCCCACUUUCCUUCUUCCCCUUCUGAAUUUAAAGGGCCUAUUCCAUCUGUUCCCUCUAACAGAUAAAGCAUUAUGAAUAUUGCCAUUUUUGAAAUCUAAUAUGCAACUGUAUUAACUACAAGCUAUGUUACCAGCUUUUUCUGUAAGUACUAAGAAAAAUGCAUUAUGAAAUUCUGAUCCAUUAUAAUGGGAUGCCUUUGAGGCUAAAAAAACCACAGCUGUAAUAGCCACAAAAUUGCAGGAUUUCAGAGCAAUGAAUAUGAGGACAAGGCAACCGGCUUUUGCCUAGAUAAUUUGUUGAGAGAGGAAGUGGGGACUGACUGCAACAGUUGAGCUUGUAAAACUAAAGUGAACAGAUUGUCGCUGAGCAGAGUUGUGUACAGUGUAUUUUUAAAAUUAGUAUUAUGAUAAGUAAGUUGAGCUCUAACCAGAGAUGAAACCAUGUGCAUAUUUCCUGUCUGUCUGAGACAGCACAAAUGCCUGGGGGUGGAAGAAUUGAGUUUUGACACACAUCAGCACAUAUCAGAAGUGAUAAAGCUGGUAUUUCUUUUGCUAGAAAAGGAUAGAGUGGUUUUCCUGAUCACUUUGAUUGGCUAUUUACUAUAUGGUGCAAUUCACAGAAUCUUGAAAAGCACAGACAGCUCUUCAGAAGUCUUUCCUGUUCAGUAGCUGCCUUUAUCACAAUAUUUUGUUUUAAUUAUGGGAGUUUCUUGUUGAGUCAGAAUGUGAGUGUGAAGACCUAUAGCCAGAUGAGGCUUAGUCUGACCUACUACUGCUUCAGACUUUGCUUGGUCAUUCCUUUAGUGUGUAUUUAGCAAGACUGUUGAUUUAAAGCCUUAAAGAGAUGGAAUAUUUACUUCAACCUUUAUGAUCUCAAGUAAUUGGUUACACAGAAUACUAACUUCCUUUUUUUUAAACCUAAAAGCUCUGUUCAUCCUGAGGCUGUGGGAUUUUUUUUUAACGCCCUAGACUGCAAAGUUAAAGACACUUGCAAUAUUGCUUCUUUCCUAUGCAAUGAAAGAACACUGUAGUCUGACAUUAUAGGCCAAGUUCAGUGAAGAGCUGUAGCUAGCUACCCUGUUGUGUUUGUGGUACUCCUCAGUAUGAGGGACGGCACUGCAGAAGUCUCCUUUGUAUUACUAUGAACGUGCAAGCAUGUGGCACGGGAUGCUCUUGUCUGCUGGGCAGAGAGAGAACUGGUCAGAGAUUAGAUUACUUUAAGGAGUCUCAUCUCUUGAAAACUGCAAAGCAGAAGUACGCUGAUCUCCAUGUGCAGUAUUGAUAAGAAAUAACAGCAGCAAGGAAUAUUUAGAUGAGAUACUACAGAAAACUGUGUAAACACUGGAAUAUGUUGUGUGCAGCAAGUGUGGAAUAUUCACUCCUGAAUUUAAUAAUAGAUAUGACAGACAUCUGUUACGAAUAAUAAAGCUGAAAUGAUCCUACUGA